GAUUAACGCUGGCGGCGUGCCUAACACAUGCAAGUCGAGCGGCAGCGAGUUUUACACUGAAUUCUGGAAGCUUCUAGUUGAAAGAGAAGAUUUAUUCAAGAAUUUUGUGUAAAAUGUCGGCGAGCGGCGGACGGCUGAGUAACGCGUGGGAACGUACCCCAAAGUGAGGGAUAACGCAUCGAAAGGUGUGCUAAUACCGCAUAUGGUCUUCGGAUUAAAGCCUUCGGGCGCUUUGGGAACGGCCUGCGUAAGAUUAGAUAGUUGGUGGGGUAAUGGCCUACCAAGUCGACGAUCUUUAACUGGUUUGAGAGGAUGAUCAGUCAGACUGGAACUGAGACACGGUCCAGACUCCUACGGGAGGCAGCAGUGAGGAAUCUUCCACAAUGGGCGAAAGCCUGAUGGAGCAACGCCGCGUGCAGGAUGAAGGCCUUCGGGUUGUAAACUGCUUUUAUAAGUGAGGAUUAUGACAGUAACUUAUGAUUAAGGAUCGGCUAACUACGUG
Molecule: ribosomal RNA, 502 nt
Filed under: uncultured bacterium
Lineage: Bacteria
Description: partial 16S ribosomal RNA
Rfam family: Bacterial small subunit ribosomal RNA
Source: RNAcentral